This 1327-nucleotide long non-coding RNA is filed under the name Homo sapiens (human). Its description in RNAcentral is "PREDICTED lncRNA (TCONS_00273863)". Lineage: Eukaryota; Metazoa; Chordata; Mammalia; Primates; Hominidae. The record is from RNAcentral.
AGGCCGGAGCCCAGGGUCUGUCUGGCAGGCAGACAGGUGCCAGCAGCUCGCAGCCUGGCGUUCCCGCUCUGGGGGCCGUCCGGGAACAGAGGCGCGCGAAGUGCGCGUGCGCGGCGGCGGAGGCGGUGGCGGCGCGAGGCAGAGCCAGAGCCCGGGGUCGGUCAAUCAGAUUAGACUCCAGAGAUAAUGAUAUUAGGAAAUCCAAACUGAAAUGGACCCCAGAGCAAUUGAAGAAAGAAAGAGUCAAGACAAAAAAAAGUUGCUGAUUCCAGUCUAGAGGAAACAGUAAGGAAGAGAAAAGAGAAAUUCUCAUUAUAGCCAUGGCAAAGGAAGGGACAUUUUUAUGGACUACAUCUCUGCCUGGAUGGCUGUCUCUAACUGGAUUUUGCCAAUAUAUGCUGAGUAAGAUGUGACUUGCUCCUCCUUGCCUUCCACCAUGAUCAUGAGGCCUCCCCAACCAUGUGGAACUGGGGAGAUAUGAAAUUAUCCAGGAAUGGCAAUUUGACCACAAAAUACAUGAACAGAUGGUUCUUGCCUUUGAAUGGGAAAAGAUGCUGCCUAGUCCAUCUUGUAUUGGAAAAUGUUGUGACUCAGUGCAAAUUUUACACUUUUGGAUGCAUUUGGAUUUCUUGGAUGUUGUAAGCACUUCUCCUUCCUGCCACCACGUGAAGAAGGACAUGUUUGCUUCCUCUUCCACCAUGAUUGUAAGUUUCCUGAGGCCACCAAGUCCUGCAGAACUGAGAUUUUUACACCUAUCUGUGAUGCUAUCUUGUGACCAUGAGGAGUGCUAAGCUGAAUCACAAAUCCACCAUGCUGAGGACAGCACAACAAAGACUUGGGGACUUAAUGGUUUCAACCAGUCACUGGGUUAACAAACCCUGGAACAAUCCCACCUCAAAACUUCAGUUACCUGUCCUGCUGACGUCAGACCCAGCACCAGGUGCAGAAGCAACCAUCAUACAAAAAUCAAGCUUCCUUAAUUAUAGAUGGAGUCUCCCUGUGUUGGCCAGGCUGGUCUUGAGCUCCUGGGCUCAAGCAAGCCUUCCACUUCAGCCUCCAGCAAUCCUCCCACCUUGGCCUCCCACAGUGCUGGGAUUACAGGUGUGAGUCACUGAACCUAGACUUGACUUUAGCUUCUUGAAGAGGAAAUUUUGAUCUUUGCUUUUAAACCUUUCUCAUUUCAAAUACAAAUAUUUAAAACUGUACAUUUUCCACUAAACACAGCUUUUGAUUGGGUCUCACAUAAUUUGGUAUAAUGUAUUUUAAUUUUUAUUCAGUUUUAAAUAUGUGCUAAUUUCCCUUUGGAUUUCUUUUUUGAUCCAUAGUA